AUUGAACGCUGGCGGCAGGCCUAACACAUGCAAGUCGAGCGAGCGGCGGACGGGUGAGUAAUGUCUGGGAAACUGCCUGAUGGAGGGGGAUAACUACUGGAAACGGUAGCUAAUACCGCAUACCAUCAGAUGUGCCCAGAUGGGAUUAGCUAGUAGGUGGGGUAACGGCUCACCUAGGCGACGAUCCCUAGCUGGGCUGAGAGGAUGACCAGCCACACUGGACCGGAGAACCGGGCCAGACUCCUACGGGAGGCAGCAGGGGGGAAUAUUGAACAAUGGGCGCAAGCCUGAUGCAGCCAUGCCGCGUGUGUGAAGAAGGCCUUCGGGUUGUAAAGCACUUUCAGCGGGGAGGCGUUACCCGCAGAAGAAGCACCGGCUAACUCCGUGCCAGCAGCCGCGUAAUAC
Molecule: ribosomal RNA, 405 nt
Filed under: uncultured bacterium
Lineage: Bacteria
Description: partial 16S ribosomal RNA
Rfam family: Bacterial small subunit ribosomal RNA
Source: RNAcentral